AGUUUCAGGAUUUGGCUAACACAAAUGCCCUACAGUCCAGUGUCUGAUUGGCAUGUGGAGAGAGAAACGCUCCAGAGGACAAGUGCUGUUUGAUAAAGUGUGUGAACACUUGAACUUGCUAGAGAAAGACUACUUUGGGCUUACGUAUCGAGAUGCUGAAAACCAGAAGGUACUACCUCUGCUUGCAGUUGCGAGAUGACAUCGUGUCCGGAAGGCUGCCCUGCUCCUUCGUUACCCUGGCCUUGCUGGGCUCCUACACUGUCCAGUCAGAGCUCGGAGACUAUGACCCAGACGAAUGUGGGAGCGAUUACAUUAGUGAGUUCCGCUUUGCACCAAACCACACUAAAGAACUGGAAGACAAAGUGAUCGAGCUGCACAAGAGCCACAGAGGAAUGACGCCAGCAGAAGCAGAGAUGCAUUUCUUGGAAAAUGCCAAAAAAUUAUCAAUGUAUGGGGUAGAUUUACAUCAUGCUAAGGACUCAGAAGGGGUAGAAAUUAUGUUAGGAGUUUGUGCAAGUGGUCUGUUGAUAUAUCGCGACCGGCUGCGAAUAAACAGAUUUGCCUGGCCCAAGGUUCUAAAGAUUUCAUACAAACGGAACAACUUUUACAUUAAGAUCCGGCCGGGAGAGUUUGAACAAUUUGAAAGCACCAUUGGGUUUAAGCUGCCAAACCAUCGAGCUGCCAAGCGUUUAUGGAAAGUAUGUGUUGAGCAUCAUACAUUUUUCAGACUACUGUUACCAGAAGCACCUCCCAAGAAAUUCCUAACCUUGGGUUCCAAGUUUCGUUAUAGUGGCAGGACACAAGCGCAAACGAGAAGAGCCAGUGCGUUGAUAGAUCGCCCAGCACCUUACUUUGAACGCUCAUCCAGCAAACGUUAUACCAUGUCUCGCAGCUUGGAUGGAGCAUCAGUGAAUGAAAACCAUGAAAUAUACAUGAAGGAUUCUAUGUCUGCUGCAGAGGUUGGUACUGGCCAGUACGCCACAACAAAAGGCAUCUCUCAGACCAACUUGAUCACCACUGUGACUCCGGAGAAGAAGGCUGAGGAGGAGCGGGACGAGGAAGAGGACAAACGGAGGAAGGGGGAAGAAGUCACGCCCGUCUCGGCCAUCCGGCACGAGGGAAAGACUGACAGUGAGCGCACAGACACCGCAGCCGACGGGGAGACCACCGCCACUGAGGAGCUAGAAAAAACUCAAGAUGACCUGAUGAAACAUCAAACCAACAUUAGCGAGCUGAAAAGAACCUUCUUAGAAACUUCAACAGACACUGCCGUAACGAAUGAAUGGGAGAAGAGGCUUUCCACCUCCCCCGUGCGACUGGCCGCCAGGCAGGAGGAUGCCCCCAUGAUCGAACCACUUGUCCCUGAAGAGAAAAUGGAAACCAAGACGGAGUCCAGUGGAAUAGAGACGGAACCCACCGUGCACCACCUGCCGCUUAGCACUGAGAAGGUGAUGCAGGAGACCGUGUUGGUGGAGGAGCAGCGUGUGGUGCACGUGAGUGGGGAUGCUUCUUACUCGGCGGGAGAGAGCGGGGAUGCUGCAGCACAGCCCGCAUUCACAGGCAUUAAAGGGAAAGAGGGCUCUGCCUUGACGGAGGAGGCUAAAGAGGAAGGAGGGGAGGAGGUCGCUAAAGCUGUCCUGGAACAGGAAGAGACAGCCGCUGCUUCCCGUGAGCGACAAGAGGAGCAGAGUGCAGCCAUCCACAUUUCAGAAACUUUGGAACAAAAACCUCAUUUUGAGUCCUCAACGGUGAAGACGGAAACCAUCAGUUUUGGCAGUGUUUCACCGGGAGGAGUAAAGCUAGAAAUUUCCACCAAGGAAGUGCCAGUAGUUCACACCGAAACCAAAACCAUCACAUAUGAAUCAUCACAGGUGGAUCCAGGCACAGAUCUGGAGCCAGGCGUGCUGAUGAGUGCACAGACGAUCACAUCUGAAACCACCAGUACCACCACCACUACGCACAUCACCAAAACUGUGAAAGGGGGCAUUUCAGAGACAAGAAUUGAGAAGCGAAUAGUCAUCACGGGGGAUGCAGACAUUGACCAUGACCAGGCGCUGGCUCAGGCAAUUAAAGAGGCCAAAGAGCAGCACCCUGACAUGUCAGUGACCAAAGUAGUGGUCCAUAAAGAGACAGAGAUCACACCAGAAGAUGGAGAGGAUUGACCAGAGGAAUAACUUAGCUUGCACAUGAAUGCAGUCAUGCAAACCGUUAGGAAAACCAGAGCCUAUAUGGAGUUCCCUCUUCUAACCCAACUGACUUGUAUCUGUCCGUGGAAAAUUUCAGUCCAGAAGAAUUGACCUUGACCAUUAAUAAAGACACUGGCAGAGAGAUCUUCCCAUAAUAAAGCAAUCUGAUUCAGCAUCACUAAACCGAUAAUGCAUGAAGCAACGAUAAAAUUACAAAAGAGCAGCAUUUUUAAUUUUCACAAAAUGUCUCAGUUUUCAGCUAUACCUGCACGUUCAUAACCAACAAUAUAAACCGUGGUCUCAUGUAACACAUAAACAAUUCAUGCCUUUCAUAGUUUAUUAAAGUCUAAACAAAAUUGCAAUUUCUUAGGUAACCUUUUAUUUACAAUAAAUGAAGAUUACCCUCAAAUGCUAGAAGCUGUCUAGGUCCGUCCGGUGUGUCAGAUUUUCCUCAGAUUAGAUGUGCCAAUAACCAAGUUUAUUCAGUAAACAACUUGUACUUGUUUCAUCUGGUUUUAUUACUCUCACCCAUAAACAGUAAUGACUCUCUGACCCUCUGGAAAUAUUUAAUGCUUCCAAUCUUGCUUUGUGUAUCUCAUUUAAUUUGUUAUAAGGUAGUACUGAUUUUAGCAUAUUAAUGCGAUUUCUUCCUUGUUGUUUGCUUUGGUCUGUGUUCAAUCCAGAGAGCUUAAAUUGUCAUUAUUUUGGGAAGAAAACCUGUAUUUUUGUUAGUUUACAAUAUUAUGAAAUUUCACUUCAGGAGAAACUGCUGGGCUUCCUGUGGCUUUGUUUUCUUAGUUUCUUUUUCCGUGCCGUGUAUUUUUUAAUUGAUUUUUCUUCUUUUACUUGAAAAGAAAGUGUUUUAUUUUCAAAUCUGGUCCAUAUUUACAUUCUAGUUCAGAGCCAAGCCUUAAACUGUACAGAAUUUCCACUGUAAUUAAAACUAUUUAGUGUUAGUUAUAAAUAGCCUUCAAAAAGAGAGAUUCUCCAUUACACGAUCACCUGCAUCACAGCCCAUGGUGAAUGUAUGUUUCUGCAUAGCGAAAUAAAAAUGGCAAAUGCACUGAAA
RNAcentral lists this small RNA (3255 nucleotides) under Pan troglodytes (chimpanzee). Its description in RNAcentral is "processed transcript". The record is from RNAcentral. Lineage: Eukaryota; Metazoa; Chordata; Mammalia; Primates; Hominidae.